CCUACGUGAGGCAGCAGUGGGGAAUAUUGCACAAUGGGGGAAACCCUGAUGCAGCGACGCCGCGUGAGUGAAGAAGUAUUUCGGUAUGUAAAGCUCUAUCAGCAGGGAAGAAAAUGACGGUACCUGAUUAAGAAGCUCCGGCUAAUUACGUGCCAGCAGCCGCGGUAAUACGUAGGGGGCAAGCGUUAUCUGGAUUUACUGGGUGGAAAGGGAGCGUAGAUGGCAGCACAAGUCUGGAGUGAAAUGCCGGGGCUUAACCCCGGAAAUGCUUAGGAGACUGUACAGUUAGAGUGCAGGAGAGGUAAGUGGAAUUCCUAGUGUAGCGGUGAAAUGCGUAGAUAUUAGGAAGAACACCAGUGGCGAAGGCGGCUUACUGGACUGUAACUGACGUUGAGGCUCGAAAGCGUGGGGAGCAAACAGGAUUAGAUACCCCAGUAGUC
This 440-nucleotide ribosomal RNA is filed under the name uncultured bacterium. Its description in RNAcentral is "partial 16S ribosomal RNA". It matches the Rfam family "Bacterial small subunit ribosomal RNA", at positions 338 to 795 of the family's 1533-position model. The record is from RNAcentral.